UUUUAUGGAGAGUUUGAUCCUGGCUCAGGAUGAACGCUGGCGGCGUGCCUAAUACAUGCAAGUCGAGCGAACAGAUGAGGAGCUUGCUCCUUUGACGUUAGCGGCGGACGGGUGAGUAACACGUGGGUAACCUACCUAUAAGACUGGAAUAACUCCGGGAAACCGGGGCUAAUGCCGGAUAACAUGUUGAACCGCAUGGUUCAACAGUGAAAGACGGUCUUGCUGUCACUUAUAGAUGGACCCGCGCCGUAUUAGCUAGUUGGUAAGGUAACGGCUUACCAAGGCGACGUAUACGUAGCCGACCUGAGAGGGUUGAUCGGCCGACACUGGAACUGAGACACGGUCCAGACUCCUACGGGA
Molecule: ribosomal RNA, 360 nt
Filed under: Staphylococcus agnetis
Lineage: Bacteria; Bacillati; Bacillota; Bacilli; Caryophanales; Staphylococcaceae
Description: bacterial SSU rRNA
Rfam family: Bacterial small subunit ribosomal RNA
Source: RNAcentral